GUAGUCAUAUGCUUGUCUCAAAGAUUAAGCCAUGCAUGUCUAAGUAUAAGCAAUUACAAAGCGAAACUGCGAAUGGCUCAUUAUAUAAGUUAUCGUUUAUUUGAUAGUACCUUACUACAUGGAUAACCGUGGUAAUUCUAGAGCUAAUACAUGCUGAAAAUCCCGACUUCGGAAGGGAUGUAUUUAUUAGAUACAAAACCAAUGCCCUUCGGGGCUCUCCUGGUGAUUCAUGAUAACUUCUCGAAUCGCACGGCCCCGCGCCGGCGAUGGUUCAUUCAAAUUUCUUCCCUAUCAACUUUCGAUGCUACGGUAUUGUCCUAGCAUGGUUGCAACGGGUGACGGAGGGUUAGGGCUCGACCCCGGAGAAGGAGCCUGAGAAACGGCUACUACAUCCAAGGAAGGCAGCAGGCGCGCAAAUUACCCAAUCCCGACUCGGGGAGGUAGUGACGAUAAAUACCGAUACAGGGCUCUUUUGGGUCCUGUAAUUGGAAUGAGUACAAUUCAAAUCCCUUAACGAGGAACAAUUGGAGGGCAAGUCUGGUGCCAGCAGCCGCGGUAAUUCCAG
This 565-nucleotide ribosomal RNA is filed under the name uncultured fungus. RNAcentral describes it as "SSU rRNA". It matches the Rfam family "Eukaryotic small subunit ribosomal RNA", at positions 20 to 588 of the family's 1831-position model. The record is from RNAcentral. Lineage: Eukaryota; Fungi.